GUCAACCUCCUCUCUCUCGAGCAUCUUAAAUGCAUCUUCAAUCAUUCUUUUUGAAGUUGAGUUUUUUGAGAGCAAAGAAUUCUUCAAUGAUUUGGUAGCAACGCCAUUCUUUUCCGCUUCUUUCACCCUAUUAUAUAGAAUGUCAUAAUAAGGGUUACUUUUAACAAGAACCAGACACCUUUUGAUCUUAGCUGUUAUCCCCACAUCCCCACAGGAGGUCCAAAAAAGUGAACAUGGAUUCGAGUAUAAGAGCUGGUAUAUUUGCCUUUACAGUGGUUACAGGUCUCAACAUUGCUUUUUGGGGCUGUUUGUUGAACCUCAUCAUCAACAUGGAUUGUUGUAUGAUCUUGGGUCUCACUAAUGUGAGUGCCUUCUGUUUCACUAUCGGAAUGAGUUGGCGAGACUCUGAAUUUUUUUUCUUCAAAAUGCCAUUCUUCACAAUCGGAUACACAAUUUGUAGUGGAAAGUAGAAAAUUAGAAAUAGCAAAAUUAAGUGGAGAAUUGAAGACAGAAAGCUGAAAUCGAAAUUGAGUUUGAUUUUUGAUAUCCGAUACAAGGUCUAUAUAUACUAAUCUCGGAUAUUUGCAAUUUAUAGUGUGAAAUUAACAUCAAGAAUACUAAUCAUCGAUCCAUCGUAUCUACGUGAGUCGAAGAUUGGAGAAAUUGAACAACCGCUAUAGAACGCGGCCUUAUCUCCCGCCCAAAUCGAUGCAUAAAAUCCGAUCGGAAGCAACAAUAAUCGACUUCAGGGACGAUCGGUUUUGACUCCAGGAACGCUAUUAGGAUCGAUUGGGAUCACUAUUAGGAUCGCGAUUGGGAUCGACCGUAUCCAAUUCGAGGUUCGCCAACAUAUCACGUACCGGACCGAUUUUGCUUCGAUUGGGUAGAGGGCGAUUGGGUACGUGGGACGCCACUAGUUGAGCGUUUUUGGUAACUAUGGCCUGACCCUCCUCAUUUCAAAAAGCGGCGAAAAUUAACUUGGAAAGAAGGAUAUUUGGCGAUGAAGGAAUCAACUAGACUUUACACAGCAAGUUGAGUGGAGACACUUAGGCCAGCUUUGCAACGGGUUUAUAUGACCAGAGCUUCUGCAUACAGAGACGCCUUAAAGAGCUUCAUACAAGGUUACCAAGAAGGCAUUCAACAAAUCAUGGAGAAGGACACCCUUGAACCUCAACAUGAAAAUAAUCACCCAAAAAAGACUAUUCGAUCUUGAAACUUCUUCUAGGUGUAUAUUGUUCUUGGAGAUAAUUCAUACAUUUUGCUUUUCCGAUUCCAAAAUCAAAUUUUGUAUCUCCCCAUGAGAGCUAAUAACAGUAUUCAGAUUUAGUGAUGUUGCAAACAGA
Lactuca sativa (garden lettuce) is the source of this 1343-nucleotide long non-coding RNA. RefSeq lists it as uncharacterized. The record is from RefSeq and is a predicted model, not a curated record. Lineage: Eukaryota; Viridiplantae; Streptophyta; Magnoliopsida; Asterales; Asteraceae.